RNAcentral lists this ribosomal RNA (200 nucleotides) under uncultured bacterium. RNAcentral describes it as "partial 16S ribosomal RNA". It matches the Rfam family "Bacterial small subunit ribosomal RNA", at positions 8 to 204 of the family's 1533-position model. The record is from RNAcentral.
AGAGUUUGAUCAUGGCUCAGGACGAACGCUGGCGGCGUGCCUAAUACAUGCAAGUCGAGCGAAUGGAUGGGAGCUUGCUCCCUGAAGUUAGCGGCGGACGGGUGAGUAACACGUGGGCAACCUGCCUAUAAGACUGGGAUAACUCCGGGAAACCGGGGCUAAUACCGGAUAGUUCUUUUCCUCUCAUGAGGAAAAGGGGA